GUCAGGUGGAGACCCCGGUGAGAGACCCACACAGACAGAGCCAGACGGACAGACACCCAGACAAACAGGAGUGGACUCGGAGAGCUGGAUGGGGAAUAGAAAGCACACACACACGCGCGCGCGCACACACACGCGCACACACACACGCACACACACACACGCACACACACAGCUGUGCUUACGCACACAACGCAGCCAAGAGUCACUUCCCCCCCAGCCGUGGGUCCUCCCGGGAGCCAGGAGCUCCAGGAAUCUUACUAGGGGCCUCCCCAGCCCAGCUACUCAGAGUGUGGUCCGUGAACCAGGGCCAGAGGCCUCGGCACCCGUGGGAGCUGUGAGACCUGCAGAGUCCCAGGCCCACCCCAGACCUGCAGCAUCAGAUGUGCGUCUUUACCAGAGCCCCGGGAGAUUCACAGGCACGUUUAUCUGGAGCCUUUGAAAUGCAAAUCACUCCAAGCUUCAGCCAGGGAAACUGGAUUCUAUAGGACCUCCAACUGACCUCCACAGCCUGCUCCAAUCUCCGAGCAGGCAGGAGUCUGUGGCCUGCUUCCGAAGAUCAAAGGGCCAUUGUUCACCUAGAGUCACCACCAGAAAACCCAGAUUAGUGAGUACUUCCACCACCAUCGGUCUUAAUAUCAAACCUCUACUAACAUGGACAGGACUCAGAGGCUUUGGCCACUGGGCUUCAAGCUGCUCAAGGAGAGAAGCUACUGCGACAUCUCAAAAGAGGGAUAGGUAUCAGGAGCAGUUGCUAUGAGGAAAGCCAUGAUGUGAGCAGUCCUAUGGUGGAGCCCACAUGCUGACGAACUGCAGGCUUCUGCAAUCAGCCUCCUGAGUGAGCUCGAAAGUGGAGUCUUUAGUCUCAAUCUUCAGAGACGGAAGCCCUGACUGCUGCCUCCUGAGAGAUGCUGAGCCAGAACUGCUCAGCUGAGCUACUGCAGGAUUCUGACCCUCAGAAACUGGUGAGAUAGAAAAUGUUUGGUGCUUUAAACUGUUGAGUUUGGGGAUAAUUUGUUACACAGUGGUAGAUAACUAAUAUCGAUUUUAAUUAAAAAACAGAUUUUGUCAGGUUGGAUAAAAAAGCAAGACCCACCACUUCACACCCAUUAGGAUGGCUAAUAUUUUACAAACAACAACAAUAGCAAACAGAAAAAAACAAGUGUUGGCAAAGAUAGAGAGACAUUGGAACUCUAGUGCAUUGUUGGUGGGAAUAUAAAAUGGUAUAGCUGCUGUGAAAACAGUAUGGUGCUUCCUCAAAAAGAUAAAAGUAGAAUUACUGUGUGAUCCAGUAAUCCCACUCCUAGGUAUAUACCUGAAGGAACUGAGAG
Molecule: long non-coding RNA, 1328 nt
Organism: Eubalaena glacialis (North Atlantic right whale)
Lineage: Eukaryota; Metazoa; Chordata; Mammalia; Artiodactyla; Balaenidae
Exons: 3
Source: RefSeq, a predicted model, not a curated record